This 72-nucleotide transfer RNA is filed under the name Stenotrophomonas maltophilia. RNAcentral describes it as "tRNA-Gln". It matches the Rfam family "tRNA". Rfam says of the family: Transfer RNA (tRNA) molecules are approximately 80 nucleotides in length. Their secondary structure includes four short double-helical elements and three loops (D, anti-codon, and T loops). Lineage: Bacteria; Pseudomonadati; Pseudomonadota; Gammaproteobacteria; Lysobacterales; Lysobacteraceae. The record is from RNAcentral. RNAcentral also lists the same sequence under 9 other names.
UGGAUAGCUCAGUAGGGAUAGAGCAACGGAUCCUGAUUCCGUCUGUCGUGGGUUCGACUCCCACUCCAACCA